Molecule: long non-coding RNA, 277 nt
Filed under: Elaeis guineensis (African oil palm)
Lineage: Eukaryota; Viridiplantae; Streptophyta; Magnoliopsida; Arecales; Arecaceae
Description: long non-coding RNA (EGUI_LNC073057)
Source: RNAcentral
CUGGAUAAGAUGAUAGCGGCGCAGAAUAUAUUUGGUGCGCUGAUGGGAUCUCGACUCCUUAGCUUGAGUAAUGGCUUCAGUAUUAUCGUAGUAUAAUGAGACAGAGCCAUCAAUGGAGUGUGCCACUCCGAGCUUAUCGAUGAAUUCCGCAAUCAUACAGCUUCUUUGCAGUAUUAGAUGCUGCGAUAUACUCAGCUUCGUAAAUAGAGUCUGGCAUAGUAUUCUGCUUGAAACUUUUCCAACAGAUUGCUCUACCAUUUAGAAUAAAAAUAUAAUC